CGGGGGUAGAGCACUGUUUCGGCUAGGGGGCCAUCCCGGCUUACCAACCCGAUGCAAACUGCGAAUACCGGAGAAUGUUAUCACGGGAGACACACGGCGGGUGCUAACGUCCGUCGUGAAGAGGGAAACAACCCAGACCGCCAGCUAAGGUCCCAAAGUCAUGGUUAAGUGGGAAACGAUGUGGGAAGGCCCAGACAGCCAGGAUGUUGGCUUAGAAGCAGCCAUCAUUUAAAGAAAGCGUAAUAGCUCACUGGUCGAGUCGGCCUGCGCGGAAGAUGUAACGGGGCUAAACCAUGCACCGAAGCUGCGGCAGCGACACUGUGUGUUGUUGGGUAGGGGAGCGUUCUGUAAGCCUGUGAAGGUGUGUCGUGAGGCAUGCUGGAGGUAUCAGAAGUGCGAAUGCUGACAUAAGUAACGAUAAAGCGGGUGAAAAGCCCGCUCGCCGGAAGACCAAGGGUUCCUGUCCAACGUUAAUCGGGGCAGGGUGAGUCGACCCCUAAGGCGAGGCCGAAAGGCGUAGUCGAUGGGAAACGGGUUAAUAUUCCCGUACUUGGUGUUACUGCGAAGGGGGGACGGAGAAGGCUAUGUUGGCCGGGCGACGGUUGUCCCGGUUUAAGCGUGUAGGUGUGUGUUCCAGGUAAAUCCGGUUCACUUUAACACUGAGGCGUGACGACGAGGCACUACGGUGCUGAAGCAACAAAUGCCCUGCUUCCAGGAAAAGCCUCUAAGCAUCAGGUAACAUCAAAUCGUACCCCAAACCGACACAGGUGGUCAGGUAGAGAAUACCAAGGCGCUUGAGAGAACUCGGGUGAAGGAACUAGGCAAAAUGGUGCCGUAACUUCGGGAGAAGGCACGCUGACACGUAGGUGAAGUGAUUUACUCAUGGAGCUGAAGUCAGUCGAAGAUACCAGCUGGCUGCAACUGUUUAUUAAAAACACAGCACUGUGCAAACACGAAAGUGGACGUAUACGGUGUGACGCCUGCCCGGUGCCGGAAGGUUAAUUGAUGGGGUCAGCGCAAGCGAAGCUCCUGAUCGAAGCCCCGGUAAACGGCGGCCGUAACUAUAACGGUCCUAAGGUAGCGAAAUUCCUUGUCGGGUAAGUUCCGACCUGCACGAAUGGCGUAAUGAUGGCCAGGCUGUCUCCACCCGAGACUCAGUGAAAUUGAACUCGCUGUGAAGAUGCAGUGUACCCGCGGCAAGACGGAAAGACCCCGUGAACCUUUACUAUAGCUUGACACUGAACAUUGAGCCUUGAUGUGUAGGAUAGGUGGGAGGCUUUGAAGUGUGGACGCCAGUCUGCAUGGAGCCGACCUUGAAAUACCACCCUUUAAUGUUUGAUGUUCUAACGUGGACCCGUUACCCGGGUUGCGGACAGUGUCUGGUGGGUAGUUUGACUGGGGCGGUCUCCUCCUAAAGAGUAACGGAGGAGCACGAAGGUUGGCUAAUCCUGGUCGGACAUCAGGAGGUUAGUGCAAUGGCAUAAGCCAGCUUGACUGCGAGCGUGACGGCGCGAGCAGGUGCGAAAGCAGGUCAUAGUGAUCCGGUGGUUCUGAAUGGAAGGGCCAUCGCUCAACGGAUAAAAGGUACUCCGGGGAUAACAGGCUGAUACCGCCCAAGAGUUCAUAUCGACGGCGGUGUUUGGCACCUCGAUGUCGGCUCAUCACAUCCUGGGGCUGAAGUAGGUCCCAAGGGUAUGGCUGUUCGCCAUUUAAAGUGGUACGCGAGCUGGGUUUAGAACGUCGUGAGACAGUUCGGUCCCUAUCUGCCGUGGGCGCUGGAGAACUGAGGGGGGCUGCUCCUAGUACGAGAGGACCGGAGUGGACGCAUCACUGGUGUUCGGGUUGUCAUGCCAAUGGCACUGCCCGGUAGCUAAAUGCGGAAGAGAUAAGUGCUGAAAGCAUCUAAGCACGAAACUUGCCCCGA
RNAcentral lists this ribosomal RNA (1924 nucleotides) under Salmonella enterica. Its description in RNAcentral is "partial 23S ribosomal RNA". It matches the Rfam family "Bacterial large subunit ribosomal RNA", at positions 897 to 2802 of the family's 2925-position model. RNAcentral also lists the same sequence under 1 other name. Lineage: Bacteria; Pseudomonadati; Pseudomonadota; Gammaproteobacteria; Enterobacterales; Enterobacteriaceae. The record is from RNAcentral.